This 542-nucleotide ribosomal RNA is filed under the name uncultured bacterium. Its description in RNAcentral is "partial 16S ribosomal RNA". The record is from RNAcentral.
GGAGUUAGCCGGUGCUUCUUCUGCGAGUAACGUCACAGAUGUAAGGUAUUAACUUACACCCUUUCCUCCUCGCUGAAAGUGCUUUACAACCCGAAGGCCUUCUUCACACACGCGGCAUGGCUGCAUCAGGGUUUCCCCCAUUGUGCAAUAUUCCCCACUGCUGCCUCCCGUAGGAGUCUGGGCCGUGUCUCAGUCCCAGUGUGGCUGAUCAUCCUCUCAGACCAGCUAGGGAUCGUCGCCUAGGUGAGCCUUUACCUCACCUACUAGCUAAUCCCACCUGGGCUUAUCCAUCAGCGCAAGGCCCGAAGGUCCCCUGCUUUCCCCCGUAGGGCGUAUGCGGUAUUAGCAGUCGUUUCCAACUGUUAUCCCCCACAAAUGGGCAAAUUCCCAGGCAUUACUCACCCGUCCGCCGCUCGUCAUCUUCAAAAGCAAGCUUUUGAAAUGUUACCGCUCGACUUGCAUGUGUUAGGCCUGCCGCCAGCGUUCAAUCUGAGCCAGUAANACACCAACGUCUAGACGNGGACGCGGGCGAGGCGACGACG